This 513-nucleotide ribosomal RNA is filed under the name uncultured microorganism. Its description in RNAcentral is "bacterial SSU rRNA". It matches the Rfam family "Bacterial small subunit ribosomal RNA", at positions 334 to 854 of the family's 1533-position model. The record is from RNAcentral.
UACUCCUACGGGAGGCAGCAGUGAGGAAUAUUGCGCAAUGGAGGCAACUCUGACGCAGCCAUGCCGCGUGCAGGAAGAAGGCGCUACGCGUUGUAAACUGCUUUUAUCCGGGAAGAAACCCCAGGACGUGUCCUGGGUUGACGGUACCGGAGGAAUAAGCACCGGCUAACUUCGUGCCAGCAGCCGCGGUAAUACGAAGGGUGCAAGCGUUAUCCGGAUUCAUUGGGUUUAAAGGGUGCGUAGGUGGGGCGAUAAGUCAGCGGUGAAAUCCUGCAGCUCAACUGCAGAAUUGCCGUUGAUACUGUCGCUCUUGAGUACGCUUGACGUGGGCGGAAUGUGUCGUGUAGCGGUGAAAUGCUUAGAUAUGGCACAGAACACCGAUAGUGAAGACAGCUCACGAAGGCGAAACUGACACUGAGGCACGAAAGCGUGGGGAUCGAACAGGAUUAGAUACCCUGGUAGUCACGGGGGUACUCCUACGGGAGGCAGCAGGAUUAGAUACCCUGGUAGUCA